This 1322-nucleotide long non-coding RNA is filed under the name Salmo salar (Atlantic salmon). RNAcentral's name for it is "lncRNA (ENSSSAG00000117464.1)". Lineage: Eukaryota; Metazoa; Chordata; Actinopteri; Salmoniformes; Salmonidae. The record is from RNAcentral.
AGAGAGAGAGGGAGUAGGGGCUGACAGAGAGGAGAUAGAACGAAGAGAGAGAGAGAGAGUAGGGGCUGACAGAGAGGAGAUAGAAUGAAGAGAGAGAGAGAGGGAGUAGGGGCUGACAGAGAGGAGAUAGAAUGAAGAGAGAGAGAGAGGGAGUAGGGGCUGACAGAGAGGAGAUAGAAUGAAGAGAGAGAGAGAGUAAGGGGCUGACAGAGAGGAGAUAGAAUGAAGAGAGAGAGAGGGAGUAGGGGCUGACAGAGAGGAGAUAGAAUGAAGAGAGAGAGGGAGUAGGGGCAGACAGAGAGGAGAUAGAAUGAAGAGAGCGAGAGAGGGAGUAGGGGCUGACAGAGAGGAGAUAGAAUGAAGAGAGAGAGAGGGAGUAGGGCUGACAGAGAGGAGAUAGAAUGAAGAGAGAGAGAGGGAGUAGGGGUUGACAGAGAGGAGAUAGAAUGAAGAGAGAGAGGGGGAGUAGGGACUGACAGAGAGGAGAUAGAAUGAAGAGAGAGAGAGGGAGUAGGGGUUGACAGAGAGGAGAUAGAAUGAAGAGAGAGAGAGAGUAGGGGCUGACAGAGAGGAGAUAGAAUGAAGAGAGAGAGAGAGAGAGAGGGAGUAGGGGCUGACAGACAGGAGAUAGAAUGAAGAGAGAGAGAGGGAGUAGGGGCUGACAGAGAGGAGAUAGAAUGAAGAGAGAGAGAGAGAGUAGGGGCUGACAGAGAGGAGAUAGAAUGAAGAGAGAGAGAGGGAGUAGGGGCUGACAGAGAGGAGAUAGAAUGAAGAGAGAGAGAGAGGGAGUAGGGGCUGACAGAGAGGAGAUAGAAUGAAGAGAGAGAGAGGGAGUAGGGGUUGACAGAGAGGAGAUAGAAUGAAGAGAGAGAGGGGGAGUAGGGACUGACAGAGAGGAGAUAGAAUGAAGAGAGAGAGAGGGAGUAGGGGUUGACAGAGAGGAGAUAGAAUGAAGAGAGAGAGAGAGAGUAGGGGCUGACAGAGAGGAGAUAGAAUGAAGAGAGAGAGAGAGAGAGAGGGAGUAGGGGCUGACAGACAGGAGAUAGAAUGAAGAGAGAGAGAGGGAGUAGGGGCUGACAGAGAGGAGAUAGAAUGAAGAGAGAGAGAGAGAGUAGGGGCUGACAGAGAGGAGAUAGAAUGAAGAGAGAGAGAGGGAGUAGGGGCUGACAGAGAGGAGAUAGAAUGAAGAGAGAGAGAGAGACAGAGAGAGGGAGUAGGGGCUGACAGAGAGGAGAUAGAGAGUAGCCAGGGUUAAAAUCUGCUGAGCUGGGACACUAGGGAUGGAGGGAAUGAGGGAGAGAGAGAAAUGGAAUUGAAUUGAG